Molecule: ribosomal RNA, 270 nt
Filed under: uncultured bacterium
Lineage: Bacteria
Description: partial 16S ribosomal RNA
Rfam family: Bacterial small subunit ribosomal RNA
Source: RNAcentral
UUAUUUUAGCGGCGGACGGGUGAGUAACGUGUGGGUAACCUGCCUUUUACUGGGGAAUAAUCACUGGAAACGGUGACUAAUACCGCAUACGGUUCUUGGAAGGCAUCUUCUAGGAAAGAAAGGAUUUAUUCGGUAAAAGAUGGGGCCCGCAUCUGAUUAGCUAGUUGGUGAGAUAACAGCCCACCAAGGCGACGAUCAGUAGCCGACCUGAGAGGGUGACCGGCCACAUUGGGACUGAGACACGGCCCAAACUCCUACGGAAGGCAGCAG